UUUUUCUCCACUUUGUAGGCGAACAUGUUUCUAGUGCACGGUUUUAGUUAAAGUUACGUGACUAGAUUACAUGCUCGUCUAUUAAGAAGAGAUCG
RNAcentral lists this microRNA precursor (95 nucleotides) under Anopheles dirus. Lineage: Eukaryota; Metazoa; Arthropoda; Insecta; Diptera; Culicidae. The record is from RNAcentral.